UGGGGAAUAUUGGGCAAUGGGCGCAAGCCUGACCCAGCAACGCCGCGUGAAGGAAGAAGGCUUUCGGGUUGUAAACUUCUUUUGUCAGGGACGAGAAGAAGACGGUACCUGACGAAUAAGCCACGGCUAACUACGUGCCAGCAGCCGCGGUAAUACGUAGGGGGCAAGCGUUAUCCGGAUUUACUGGGCGUAAAGGGCAUGUAGGCGGACCUGCAAGCUUGGAGUGAAAUCCACGGGCUCAACCCGUGAACUGCUCCGGGAACUGCAGGACUUGAAUCGCUGAGGGGGAGCCGGAAUUCCAGGUGUAGGGGUGAAAUCUGUAGAUAUCUGGAAGAACACCAAUGGCGAAGGCAGGCUUCUAGCAGACGAUUGACGCUGAGGUGCGAAGGUGCGGGGAGCAAACAGGAUUAGAUACCCUGGUAGU
This 424-nucleotide ribosomal RNA is filed under the name uncultured Pseudoflavonifractor sp. Its description in RNAcentral is "bacterial SSU rRNA". It matches the Rfam family "Bacterial small subunit ribosomal RNA", at positions 355 to 794 of the family's 1533-position model. The record is from RNAcentral. Lineage: Bacteria; Bacillati; Bacillota; Clostridia; Eubacteriales; Oscillospiraceae.